GAGUUUGAUCCUGGCUCAGAAUCAACGCUGGCGGCGUGCCUCAGACAUGCAAGUCGAACGAUUAAACUUUCCUUCGGGAAAGAUAUAAAGUGGCGCACGGGUGAGUAACACGUAAGUAAUCUACCUUCGAGUGGGGAAUAACGUUCGGAAACGAACGCUAAUACCGCAUAAUGCAGCGGCAUCGCAAGAUGACAGUUGUUAAAGGAGCAAUCCGCUUGAAGAGGAGCUUGCGGCAGAUUAGCUAGUUGGUAAGGUAAUGGCUUACCAAGGCUACGAUCUGUAUCCGGUCUAAGAGGACGGUCGGACACACUGACACUGAAUAACGGGUCAGACUCCUACGGGAGGCAGCAGUCGGGAAUUUUGGGCAAUGGGCGAAAGCCUGACCCAGCAACGCCGCGUGAAGGAUGAAGUAUUUCGGUAUGUAAACUUCGAAAGAAUAGGAAGAAUAAAUGACGGUACUAUUUAUAAGCUCCGGCUAACUACGUGCCAGCAGCCGCGGUAAUACGUAGGGAGCAAGCGUUGUUCGGAUUUACUGGGCGUAAAGGGCGCGUAGGCGGCGCGACAAGUCACUUGUGAAAUCUCCGGGCUUAACUCGGAACGGCCAAGUGAAACUGUCAUGCUAGAGUGCAGAAGGGGCAAUCGGAAUUCUUGGUGUAGCGGUGAAAUGCGUAGAUAUCAAGAGGAACACCUGAGGUGAAGACGGGUUGCUGGGCUGACACUGACGCUGAGGCGCGAAAGCCAGGGGAGCAAACGGGAUUAGAUACCCCGGUAGUCCUGGCCCUAAACGAUGAAUACUUGGUGUCUGGAAUUAUUAUUGUUCCGGGUGCCGUCGCUAACGUUUUAAGUAUUCCGCCUGGGGGAGUACGCACGCAAGUGUGAAACUCAAAGGAAUUGACGG
RNAcentral lists this ribosomal RNA (898 nucleotides) under uncultured bacterium. Its description in RNAcentral is "bacterial SSU rRNA". It matches the Rfam family "Bacterial small subunit ribosomal RNA", at positions 9 to 916 of the family's 1533-position model. The record is from RNAcentral.